RNAcentral lists this ribosomal RNA (506 nucleotides) under uncultured bacterium. RNAcentral's name for it is "partial 16S ribosomal RNA". It matches the Rfam family "Bacterial small subunit ribosomal RNA", at positions 30 to 523 of the family's 1533-position model. The record is from RNAcentral.
AUUGAACGCCGGCGGCAGGCCUAACACAUGCAAGUCGAACGGUAACAGGAAGCAGCUUGCUGCUUUGCUGACGAGUGGCGGACGGGUGAGUAAUGUCUGGGAAACUGCCCGAUGGAGGGGGAUAACUACUGGAAACGGUAGCUAAUACCGCAUAAUGUCGCAAGACCAAAGAGGGGGACCUUCGGGCCUCUUGCCAUCGGAUGUGCCCAGAUGGGAUUAGCUUGUUGGUGAGGUAACGGCUCACCAAGGCGACGAUCCCUAGCUGGUCUGAGAGGAUGACCAGCCACACUGGAACUGAGACACGGUCCAGACUCCUACGGGAGGCAGCAGUGGGGAAUAUUGCACAAUGGGCGCAAGCCUGAUGCAGCCAUGCCGCGUGUAUGAAGAAGGCCUUCGGGUUGUAAAGUACUUUCAGCGGGGAGGAAGGGGUUAAGGUUAAUAACCUUAGCCAUUGACGUUACCCGCAGAAGAAGCACCGGCUAACUCCGUGCCAGCAGCCGCCGUAA